CUCUUAAGGGCUGUGCGCCUGCGCGGGAUUGCGACUGCGCCCUGACUGAGGGGAAAUGGUCUGCAGGGCGCAUGCGCAGGAGGCUUGAGUGUUCGCUGGUGUGAGGCAGGCGAGGGGCUGUGGGAUCUUUGGGCUUUCUGUGUGGAAGGAAUGAGUGGGCUGUGUCCGGGAGCUUCCAAUCCCAAACUUGAGGUGGCUUGGGGUCCGUGUGGGCGCUGGCUGUAGGACCCCAGUGUAAGUGGUGACUGUGGGGCCUGUGAGCUCCCUGAAGAAGCUAGCAAGUGGCAGAGAUCCAGGCAAACGUGGGAAUACUUUCUUAAGUUUGGCCGUAGAAACAGAGGAGUCAGUGAUGUUAUGGAUGCAUCACAGCGUGGAUACAGCAUGUAGCCUGAGUCAGGAGGGCAGCAUGUUUUCUAAGAUGUAAAGUCACUCAUUCUAAAUGGUGUAGAAAGUGCUCUGUGCUUGUAAUGUUUUCAGGCUUAAAUUGUCUAGAAAUGAGUAUUUUCCAACAAUCAGAAAUUAAACUCAGUAUAUCUGCUGGCUUUGUAACUUAUCUGCUUGUUCUUUGAUUGGCUUGUGACUCCCUUCUUCAUAUUUUCUGCUAAUCUUUUAUUACUACGUUAACAUGCGUUAUAUCCAAGCAUUGAACAAGCUUGCCAGAAGUACUUUAGUGUUCAUUUGUUUUGUUUACCUGAUUGUGGGCUUUUUAGAUUCAUUCUUUAUAACUUUGACAUGGAGUCAGAAAGGACUUGUGGUGGUGGUGGAGAUGAUGUUGUACAGUUAGUUGCUAUGACAAAUGUAGUUUUUCUUUACUAAGACUUUGGUCCUGAAUAUGUUUCUGAUGCGUGUGGCCUAUGCUGCUGUCAGAUACUUGGGGUAUCUAAAGACAUCUACCACAGCUGUACUGUACACUGAAGUGUGAAGCUGGUAUCUUUUAUCAGCUCAUGCUGAAUCUGUAGUAAACGGCUAAAGCAGUGCUGAAAAGUUUUGAUUAAAAUUAUAUGCGAGAUAGAAGAGAAGCUGAUUGAGAGAGCAGGACCUGGGAAAUCCGAUUGCAGAGUGAUGAAGUAAAGAUCUAAUACUUUAACAAUGGUGUUGAGUAAGUGCUGUGAUUGAAGGGAAAGGUCUUGGAGAACAGGAGAGGUGCCUGAAGACUGGAAGAUAGCCAGUGUCACUCCAGUGUUCAAAAAGGGCAAGAAGCAGGUUCUGGAAAACUACCAGGCCAGUCAGCCUCACUUCUGACUCUGAAAAGGUGAUGGAAAAGCUUUUUCUGGAUGCCAUCUCCAAGCAAUUGGUAGAAAAGAAGGCUAUCAGGAGUAGUCAGCAUGGAUUCACCGAGGGAAACUCAUGCCUGACAAGAGUCAUAGCCUUCUGUGAUGGCAUUACCGGCUGGAUAUAUGUGGGUUUGAACUCAAAGCAAAGAUAGAGUCCAAACCUUAGCAUGACAGAAAGCGGGCUUUGUAUCAUAUUUGAAAACUCUUCACCAGUCUUCGUACUCUCUUGGACUGUAAAUUAGAUGCGAACUUACCUGGUGAAAAUGUCAUGGAGAUGAGAGAGAAGAGAUGCAGAAAAGCAGAGAGUUUCCAUCCUCCUGCCGACCCAGUGGAAGACAAUGCUGUAACAGCAGGCGUCUGAUAAAACAGUGAAGUUGUGACUAGAGUCUGCCUUGAACUGGUGUUUCAGUUCAGAAUGCCAGCACACGUGAAGAAUGCUCUCAUUCUGACCAUCUGUUGUCGCAGGUAAAUUGAGAGAUGGUAGCACACAACAGUGUAUUGUUGUAAAGAAAGUUUGUACUGCCUUAGUAUUAGAAGUUGAAGGGCUUAUAGAAUAUUUUCUGACCCUGAAAAUGUUAACUUUUCCUUUCUUUCUUUGGGGGAUGUUUUUUUUUCCCCAGGUAUAUGAAGAAAAAGUGAUGAUUACAAUAAGAGAAAUUGCAAGAGAUUUUCCAGAUCUAGGGUCAGUGGUGACAUCCCCAUAAAUCAUGAGUAACCCUAACACAGACAGUCUUAAAGAGGCUUAGUUGUCAUAAACAUAUAUACUUAGGUAGAACUGUUCCCGUCAUAUUUAUCUUUCAUUCCAUAGCUUAUAGAAACCAAAUUUCUGUCAUCGACAAUUAUUAAUCAUGCAUUUACCCUGCUGAGACAUCUAAUAAAGCAUCAAGUACAGAGUCUGAACAUGAGUGAGAGAAAAGGAGAGAAAACAGAGAAAACAUAAUCCAAAUUUUUUAAAGUGAGGGGAAGAAAAAUCUCACAGAACAUCUGUUCACCACAUGUUCAUAAAUUACAGUGGGAUUUUGAACUUUUCUUCUCUCGUCUACAUGUCACGCAGAUUUAAUAGUUCAUAAUUUUACAAAAAACAACAUAAUUAUGCACCAUGCUCAAAAGAACAUGUGAUCAGCUCUCCAGCAGCACUGCUGCAAGCUGCUCUCUGUUGAUGCCAAGCUUGCAGCAGUUCAGCAUGUUGUACUUUCUCAGCCCUUGCAUGGGAGGCUCAUUAUUCAUGGCAAGACUGAAGAAAACACCACUGAAAUUCAACUCAUGAGCCUGGGCCUGAAUAUGAUAACCUUUGACUCUCCAGGGAAAUUAACAUUUUGUGCUUAGACCACAAAAAAUAUUGGAAUGUAAGAUCUUACUGAGAAAUACUAUUUCUCAUUGAGAAUGCACCUUUCCCCGAUCAGUGCGUUAUAGAACAGGUUUUUAUUUAGCUUAAAUGGAAAAGAAUGAACAAAGCAAGUAUUACAUAGAAGGCGUAUUUUGCAAAUUUUUUAUUUGUGGCUGAACUACAGAUCAGAAUCUAAAAAUAUGUGCUUCCAUCUACUUGACUGAGACAAGUCACUGGUGUACAUAUGAGUACAUGCAGUCAAGUUUCUUCUUGCCAUUUACUUCCCAUGAAACUGAUCCAUCUGUGCAUAAAACCUAUGUACAGAUUCCAGGUCUUGGGCUGAUUCUGCAUCCAAGGGAAACCCUUGCAAAUAUUUGUUCUGAGAUGUGAAAGAGAAGAGGGAAUUUAGAUGCAGAAUUAGGAAUAGAAGGAGAAAGACGAGUAUCAUGAAAGGAAAUUGUGCUUUUGUAUUUACUUCAUUGUCUCAUUUUUAAAAUUAUCCUCUUCCCUACCAAAUAACAACAUCUUAAAGAACUUAUAAACGUACAAGGAUUUUUCCUUUAUAACAUACACACAAACAAAAAACAUGGAUUCCAGCAUGCAAGAAGCAAAAGCAAAAUAUUCAGGAAGCACACUUGCAAUAAACAAAUUGGAGAUUAAAACCAUCCCAUGUCAACAUUCAGAUUCGUUAAGACCUCAAACAUAUAAGCUUUAAUGUAGUUGUAAUAUACAGAUUUAGAGUACUCUUCAAGAAAAAUAUGACUCAGGAGCAGUUGCCAGCAUGAGAAGUUUCUGCUUUUUCUUUUCCUGCUGAUGAUAAUUAUGAUUUAGGGCUCCAUAUUAAACAAGGAAGGGGCUGCAAACACAGUUUGAAAUGUUUCAUAUUGGUGUUUUAAUGAAGAUCCCAUAGAUGCCAUCUUCUUCUACCUAAGUUAAUGGAUUGAUUUAGGUAGAGGUUCUGUAAAAUGUAGUAGAAAAUCUUGUUGCAGUUAGAAAAUCCUAGCAAGAGAUUGAUUUCUAUGUAAUAAAAUUACUUCAUUAAAUGAAAUCCUCAUAUUUCUUCUGAACUCUUGAGACAGCUACCAAAUUUUAUAAAAGGCCAUUAAAUGUAGUGCACAGCUGGCAUUGGCCUGCUGGCAGGAAAAAUGAUUUUCCCCAUCUGAGUUCUCUGAGAGAGGUCCAAAGCUGCCACAGAACUGAACAAAGCUCUGUGCACCACAAACUGCUGAGGGAAACAAAACACUGCACAGGAGCAGGGGCCACUGACCAAUAGACUGAGUCCCCCAAAGCAGGUAAAACUGAGAAUAGAACGUUUGAACAAACUUGUUCAGAAUUGCCUUUGUCUGCAGCUUCACAGUUAUUUCAAGCACACGUGCUUUAUUUUUACACAGGAAUUGAGAAAAAUUAUGAAGUUGGUAUGCCUAACCAGCCCAAAUUCCAAGUUUACAGAUCAUUAUAACUGCGGAAACUGCUGGUCCACCCUUUUAUUUUUCAGAGGUAGAGAAGGUGGAGUUUUUUGAGUAUGAGGUGAGAUUGUGGCAAGUCUUUCUGCUUCCAUCAUCAUGAUUUUUUUUCACCAUUCCCUUUGCCUCUGUUGUUGUCAGGUGCACUACAGUCCUCUUGUCUUGCAGACUGACUGUCUCCUUGCACUCAGAAAACUCAAUUCAAGUAGAUAUCUUGUGAGUCUGCAAAGAUAAAUCAAUUCCAAUGUUUUUCAUCCUGGGAAAAAGGAAAGUAGAAAUCAGUUACACAGUAAGCAUGGAGAAGUUCUGACUCAUACCUAAUUUGAUCUAAUCUAAAGUUUAUUAAGCUCAGAAGAAUUUGACUGGUUUCCUUUUAGCUUUAUUUCAGAACAAUUGUUUGUGGUGCAUGCUGCAUCUCUGGGCACUUCAUCUCUUCAUCUUUCAUCCAUUUUUAUUUAAGCCUUUGUUUCUCAGUAUGGGGUGAUAUGUUGAUAAAAUAAACUACUUAUCUUUGUUGAAAUUACUCUUUUUGGUAUGAAAUGUUGGGUAUGGUAUGGUAUGAAAUUGCGCAUUACUCAGGGGGAAAAAGUCCAAGAACUUUGCAAGAUUUUAAUUAAAACUGAAUCAUGGCAUAAAUGAACAGCUAGAAAACAGUCUGAGAAAUUCAGUACUAUCCAGUUGUCAUGUUAGUUCCUUCAGUUAUUUAAUUCCAGAGAAUGUUUGGAGUAGUCAAACAGGAGAUUGAUAGCAAACUUCUUGUGAAGAAACUGUUUGCUAGGUAAUGUCCAUGCCCCCAGGAGUUGCAAAGGAAGCUCAGAGAAUAUGCAAGCUCCUGGUACAAAUAAAUUAUUUUCUCAGGGAGGAAGAAGAUCUAUGGGACAGGAGCCAUUUGUUGAGGGAAUUGAUUUCAAAGAAGAGUACCAAAGCUCAAUGAUGCAAGCUCGUUGGAGACGGAACAGGGUAGAGAGAUAUUUGCCUUCCUGGGUUUAGCUUUGCUUCAGCUUUACCUACAUAUAUGAGAAGUUGUUCAUUGUUUGCUUGAUUUUUGCAAUCAGAGGCUGACCAUACACCAGAUGAUUCCUGUGGCUGCAGGACAACGCAGCCCUCCUGACAGCGGACAGAAGUAUAUGACCAGAGGAGAUUAUAUGUACUGGAAAAACCACUGAACUGAAGUUUACAAGUUGUUGGUUGUGAGCUGUGACAAUGCACCGUGCAUUAAUAAUGCACCUUAAUGUACAUAUGAGGGGAAAUCUUGAAGAAAACCUGCACGAAGCGUGUAUUCACUACAGUGCUGUGAGUAGCUGGUAGAACAGAGUUGAGAAUGUAAUUUAGCUAGUGAACAGAAAACAGAUAGAAGAAAAAGCAAGAAAAGGCCGCACCUAAUGUUCAGAGUAAGACUUCUUUUCUCAUUGAAAUGUGAAGGUGGAUUCCCAAAUCUUUGUUCCAGAUUUUGGCUCUAUGACAAGUAAGUAUAAAGAGAAGAAAGAUGAAUGUGACUAUAAUACACAGGCAAAGCUGUGCAUAUCUGAUGCGUAAAAAGAAUUUGGAAUUUUGAGGUCUGCUAAAUCAGUUGAGUCUUACUGCAAUGUUUUUCUGGUUCAUUUGGCCAGAGAGCAUGUAUUAAAUCUAUAUGACCGUGCACAUAGGCAAAUAUUGAUUUCAUUAGUAAAGAAAUUGAGAAAAAUAUGUGAUGUCCUAGUAUCUGGUUAUCCAGUUCUAAUACACAUUCCUUCUUUACUCAGACUUCUACAUGAAUGAAGGUCCCAGUCAAUUCAUGAGGCCCUUCUGCCCACUCUAUAAAGGUUAAGUCCAUUCAGCAAAAAUUGAAAAUGAGAGUUGAAUACUGUGAACAAUUAAAUUCUGCAUUUGAAAUAAUAAAUGCAUAGUCUCAUGCA
Molecule: long non-coding RNA, 5959 nt
Organism: Tympanuchus pallidicinctus (lesser prairie-chicken)
Lineage: Eukaryota; Metazoa; Chordata; Aves; Galliformes; Phasianidae
Exons: 7
Source: RefSeq, a predicted model, not a curated record